CUUUAAAAACAGUAUAUUUUAAGCACAUUUUGAAAGUAUAUGGGGUGUACAAGUAUAUUAUUUUAUGGAGAAAUAACGUGGGCUUAAAAUUACGAGAGAGCAGUAUGUUCUGUUACAUUUUAUAUUGUAGAUGUAUACAUUUGUAAUAUACUAUUAACAUAAUAAGGUACACUUUAACUUCACUAUAGUCAAGCAUUGGAUAAACCAAUGAACUGUGUUUUACCACAAAAUGACCAUGGUUUUGCUAAUAAUAAUCAAUACACCAAAAAAAAAAAAACAUGGUUACUAAACUUUUGCCACAAAAAAACAUUCAUUUUCGUAAGGGGAAUAUGAGUGUUUGUUUUUUUGUAGUUUUUGAGUCAAUUGCAUACCGCUUUUAGCUGUACACAUUAAUUAACUUAAACAGUUUUCGUAAAUGCAUUUCAGAGAAAAGUGAAUUCUGAGAUUUGAAUAAUGCAUCUGACGUGUGGGAUGACGUCACGACGCACGUAUUUUGAUUUUUACCAGUCGCUCAAGACAGACGGAUUCAGUCCCAAGAAGCUAAAGUUUUUCAAAGACAUUUGUAGGGAGGACUUUGCAGCUAAUGAUUUCCUAAGCCUGAACCAAAACCUGCCAGACUAAAGUUGAUUUGGGAGAGAAAGACGUUGUAAACUUAAUCAUCUUGACAUUCUUCAAUGAGUAAUUGUUCAAUUUUUAGGCAAAUACUGUACACUUUGAAUGCUGUGAAUAAAACUAUAUUUUAAAUAUAUUUAAAAUGAA
Misgurnus anguillicaudatus (oriental weatherfish) is the source of this 759-nucleotide non-coding RNA. NCBI's taxonomy places the organism in Eukaryota, Metazoa, Chordata, Actinopteri, Cypriniformes, Cobitidae. The record is from RefSeq and is a predicted model, not a curated record.